This is a long non-coding RNA of Callithrix jacchus (white-tufted-ear marmoset), 5416 nucleotides long. RefSeq lists it as uncharacterized. Lineage: Eukaryota; Metazoa; Chordata; Mammalia; Primates; Cebidae. The record is from RefSeq and is a predicted model, not a curated record.
UCUCGGCUCACUGCAACCUCCGCCUCCCAGGUUUCAGCAGUUCUCUCUGCCUCAGCCUCCUGAGUAGCUGGGAUUACAGGCACCUAUCACCACGCCCAGCUAAUUUCUUUUUGUAUUUUUAGUAGAGACGGGGCUUCACCAUGUUAGCCAUGCUGGUCUCAAACUCCUGAUCUCAGGUGAUCUGCCCACCUCAGUCUCCCACAGUGCUGGGAUUAUAGGCAUGAGCCACCUCGCCCAGCCAGAAAUGUGCCUUCCUGAGACCUGAAGAGCAAACACAUCCAAUGCUGAGCUAAGGGACAGGAGGCAGAGAGAAGAGGGAAUCUGUACCAAAUUCUUUUUUGGUUUUUUUUUUUUGAGACAGAAUCUCACUCUAUCGCCCAGGCUGGAGUGCAGUGGCUCAAUCUCGGCUCACUGCAACCUCCACCCAACUUCAAGUGAUUCUCCUGCCUCAGCCUCCCAAGUAGCUGGGACUACAGGUACACACCCCCACACUCAGAAGUUCUGCAACAAGAAGGUGAAAUAGGUUCUGAACAUUAAGCAGUAAGAAGUUAUGAAGGGCACGUUUGCCUGGUAGCACCUCCCAGGUAGACCAGGGCACUCUCUGCUUUUGAAAAGCCCGUUAGGGGCCUGAGCUCACCUGCAGUUCCAGCUGUGGGAGGAGACAGGGACUGAGACACAUGUCUGAGGCUGGCUUUACACCCUCCUGCCAUCCCAGCCACCAGCCAACUGCAGCCACACGAAUAAGCCAAGGAGAGCCCAGCCCAGACUGGCCACCCACAGGACCAUGAGCAAACAGACACUUGUUCUAAGCCACUAAGUCUUGGGGUGGUUUGCCAUACAGCAAUUCACAACUGAUACGGUUACCAAGUCCUUUGCUGAGUCCCCACUAGCCAAUGCCAGCAUCCUGGGUGGCAGGACUGAGCCCUCAAAUGCUCUGUCCACUCUUCCCAUCUAGAAGCCCCAGGACAGAGUGCAGGGUGUGGAAAGGCAGCAGGAGCGUGGGAGAUGGAUGAAGUGCUAGGGCCUCCACCUCCACCCUAUUUCCAUCACUCAUAUCCCAAUGAAAUGUGGAGGGAGGUACCUAUGGGGACAGAGGUGGCCCAAUCUCUGAGCUUUCCCAUUUUGAGGGUCAAUAGAACAUAAAAAUGCAUCCCACCUGGACACAGUGGCUCCAGUCCAUAAUCCCAGCACUUUGAGAGGCCAAGGCAGGAGGAUCACUUAAGCCCAGGAGCUCAAGAUCAGCCUGGGCAACAUAACAAAACCCCUGUCACUACAAAACAUUUUUUAAAAAUUAGGCAAGGUGGUGGAUACCUUUAGUCCCAGCUACUCAGGAGACUGGGGCAGGAGGAUCCAUUGAGCCCAAGAAUUCGAGGCUGCAGUGAGCUAUGAUUGCACCACCACUGCACUCCAGCCUGGGCAACAAGUGUAAGACCCUGUCGCAAAAAAAAAAAAAAAAAAAAAAAACUCGAGUCCAGUGAGGACCAGGAAGGCUGAGAGUUCUUUAGAAGUCUGUACUUACACAGCCAAUCUCAAAGCAGAACAGGGCAAUCAAUAAUGAAUGCUGCCAGGUCCCUCUUAGAACUGUUCCCCCAAGCCAGGUGCACUGGCUUGUACCUGUAAUCCCAGAAUUUUAGGAGGCCAGGUCAGGCGGAGCACUUGAAGUCAGGAGUUCCAGACCAGCCUGGCCAACACGGCAAAACCCUGUCUCUACUAAAAAUACAAAAAUUAGCCAGGUGUGGUGGCAUGUGCCUGUGAUCCCAGCUACUUGGGAGGCUGAGGCAGGAGAAUUGCUUGAACCCGGGAGGCAGAGGUUGCAGUGAGCUGAGAUUGCACCCCUGGACUCCAGCCUGCGUGACAGAGCAAGACUCCAUCUUGGGAAAAAAAAAAAAGAACUGCUUCCCCUAAAUUUCUAAUUCUGUCAUACAGCCCCUCGGGUCCUCCCUGCCAGGGCAGCAGCCCACAGAAUGGACAUCCCUCUUCUCAUCUUUCCCCGAUCAAAAUGUCCCCAUCUUCUGCGGCAUUCGCUUUAGGCCCUGAUUCUCUGUUCUUGAUGGUAACAAGCAGAUUUUUUUCCUCAGUUAUGUGCUUGUAUUUUAGCAAGGACCUUUGGGAAAUACAAGGCCUUCAUUCAAAGGACUGACUAACGGUAGAAUCCGAGGCACAGAGGCAGGUUGAUGCAGAGCUAUUUAGGUGCAGGAGAGCCUCAGAGCUCCCAUUAAAUCACAGCCAUGGCUGACCUGAUGGAAAAGAAUGUAUUGUCCUUCCCAUGAAGUUUUCACCCGCAAACCAGUAUGCUGCUGUCAGGUAUAGGGUUAAGUCGUUAGGAAUGUGCUUAAGCCUGGGCAACAUAGUGAGACCCUGCCCCUACAAAACAAUUUAAAAAUUAGCCAGGCAUGGUGGCACGCACCUGUGGUCCCAGCUACUCGGGAGGCUGAGGCAGGAGGAUUGCUUGAGCCCUGGAGGCUGCAGUGAGCUGUGACUGUUUCACUGCCACCCUUGUCUGGGAGCAAGAAUUUGUCUCAAAAAAAAAAAAAAAAAAAAGAAUGUGUUUACCAAAUCAUUGGAUGGAUGGAUGGAUGGAUGGAUGGAUGGAUGGAUGGAUGGACAGAGCCCAAACAAGAAUGGAACAAAAGACCUUGAUCUCAUCAGCCCUUGACCUCAUUCAAUCUUCCAAACUCUGAGAGUCCAGGCAGAAGACAAGAGGUUCCCAGCAUUCCUUCCUUGAAAUGUCAGCUUAGGGUCCUCUCCAGGUGCAGAUCUAAGAGAGAGGUCAGGCAUCUCCUCCAAGAACUUGUCCUCAGCACUCACUACCUUGGACCAGCAGGGCAGCUUCUCCCCAAGGCUGUCCUAUAAACACUAGGGUCAGGGAGCAGGGCGUGCUUCCCUGCACCCAUUCUAUCCCACACCCCAAGUCCCACGGAAGUGCAUGCUUCUGGAAAGAGCCUGAAAUAGUUACAUGAUUCUGUCUCCAUUUCUCAUUCCCCCUCCUGCGCUUAAGUGCCUAUUAGGGACAAAGGGACAGGAACAGAGGACAAUAACAUCUGUUUUUCCAACAAGCUGGUGACAAUGCGGAUCUGGAGGCGGAGCGUGCGUCAGCACUGGGGCCCAGAUGCAGCCCUGCAGCUGCAGAAGCAACUGGCACUCCAUCAUUUCACAGGGAGAUCACCCCAGUCAGCAGCUCCUAACUCGCUGGCAUGCAUCCUCGCCCGGGGAGCCAUUACUGCUCUCCCUAGAUCAGGCUAACCUCUCACUUUUGUUUUUUUUAAUCUCUGGUGGCCUUCAGCAGGACCCUGGAAGCCACAAGUCCUCCAACCUUAGUCCUACCGUCUCAAGGUCAGGGCCAAGGACAGGACACAGAGCAUGGCUGGAAAAGCACUGGGUUAGAAGUCAAAGGACUUGGCUUCUCAUCCCAGCUCUGCCAUUGGCUCUGAGACCUUGGGCUGCUGUGUCUGUGUGGGGACAUUGAGAGCAAGGUGUUCAACUUGCUGAAGGAGCCUCAGUUUCCUCAUCUAUAAAAUGGGAGCUAUCAUACCUCAGUCAUGGAAUUGCUAAGAGUCUCAAGUGUGAGAACUGACACAUGUGAUCCUAAGUCAGCGCAAUAACUGGGAGCGAGCAGAUGAGCCAUGGCAGUGUGUGUUUCUGCAGGUAACUUGGAGGCCACUCGUGCCUAAAGCUGACUCCAAUACCCAGGCACGGCUGAGAUGUUUUCCAGCAGUCAGACUGCACAAAGCAAAUAGAAUCAACCAUCCAUUCACCAGGUAUGGUGGUUCACGCCUAUAAUCCCAGCACUUUGGGAGGCCGAGGCGGGUGGAUCACGAGGUCAAGAGAUCGAGACCAUCCUGGUCAACAAGGUGAAAGCCCGUCUCUACUAAAAACAAAUUAGCUGGGCAUGGUGGUAUGUGUCUGUAGUCCCAGCUACUCGGGAGGCUGAGGCAGGAGAAUUGCUUGAACCCAGAAGGCAGAGGUUACGGUGAGCCGAGAUCGUGCCAUUGCACUCCAGUCUGGGUAACAACAGUGAAACUCCGUCUCAAAAAAAAAAUUAGCUGGGUGUGGUAGCACGCACCUGUAGUCCCAGCUACUCAGGAGGCUGAGGCAAGAGAAUCACUUGAACACAGGAGGUAGAGAUUGCAGUGAGCUGAGAUUGUGGCACUGCACUCCAACCCUGGAAACAGAGAGACUCUGUCUGAAAAAAAAAGCUAUCAAACUAUGGAGACCCCCGAGUCCCUGUCUCUGAUGGAGCCCCUCAAUCCUACCUCUUCUCCAACACCCAAGGCCACCAGCACGACAAGCUGGCCAUGUGCCUGGAAGGCUCAGGAGAACCAUGGAAAGGGUUAAGAGAGGGAAAGGCGAGGAGAGGCUGGAAAGAGGAUGGGAGAUGAAGACAAUAACAAAAGAGGCAGCUGUGACUCUUUCAACAUUUUAAAAGAGAUUGAAAUUGAAAAUGAGAUUUAUAAAAAGGCAACCCAUCACGCUUUGCUCCCCCCUUCAAAAGAAAGAAGUGUUGAAAAUGAAAAAGACUUUUAACCAAAUGAGUGCUGCGUUUAGAGUUAGAAGAGAACCGGUCCGGGUCAUGUGUAGUGCUGCUGCGUGGUGGCUGUGACCCCCAGCAAGUCACUGGCCCACUCCACCCAUGAAACAAGCCGAGCACACACUUCUCAGGGCCAUGGGGAGGGCACCGUGAGAGGCGCAUGGAGAAGGCUUUGGUGAACCCCAGGUUGCUUCCCAGCCGGACCCAGCGUCUGGUGGCUCUCACUGCGACUGUGGUUAGGCAGCCUUGACAGGCUGUUGUCAUUCCCACCACUGAGAGAGACAAGGGAAUGAGUAUCAAGGAUCACCCAGGGCAGGCAGUGAGGUUUCCAGGUCAGGGCCUGUCCUGGGGAAACCCAUCUUCUCACACCUCUCAUGCAGUGAGAUUAGUUGCAUCCACUGUGAUGGCCAGGGACACCGAUUACACCGUGCUCUGCCCUGCUUGAUCGACUUUGUUAUCUUCGUUCCUCACCAUCCCCUCCCUGUUCCUUCUUGGAAAAGGAAUGGCUCUUCUCAGCAGAGCCACCCAGCCCCUGCACCCAGCCUCUGUGCCGAGCUCGAAGGAUACCGAAUGGUUCUACCUCCUCCUUGCCUCUACCCAGAGGGGCUCUGAGCGACCCUCACAGCCUCCAUGGUUUCCCCUUAUCCUCCCUGGAGCUGCAUAAAGACUGGUUGCCCAGUCAAUGAGAUGGCUUUACCAGGUGUCACUGAUUGCAUUGGGUUCCAUUCAUGUUCGGCACCUACUGAAUUCCCAGGACAAUAACUGCCCCACUGGGGGAUACAGGAGGUGUCCCCACAUUUACAUAAAUGUACACACAUAUUUGCACACAUGCACAUGGGAAAUAUUUAUUUUUAGAGACAGGGUCUCAUUCUGUCACCCUGGCAAGAG